GGGGGGUGCAAGCGUUGUUCGGAAUUAUUGGGCGUAAAGAGCGUGUAGGUGGUUUGUUAAGUCUGUUGUGAAAGCCCUGGGCUCAACCCAGGAAGUGCACUGGAUACUGGCAGACUUGAAUACGGGAGAGGGUAGUGGAAUUCCUAGUGUAGGAGUGAAAUCCGUAGAUAUUAGGAGGAACACCGGAGGCGAAGGCGGCUACCUGGACCGAUAUUGACGCUGAGACGCGAAAUCGUGGGUAGCAAACAGGAUUAGAUACCCUGGUAGUCCACGCCGUAAACGAUGAGAACUAGGUGUUGCGGGUAUUGACCCCUGCAGUGCCGCAGCUAACGCAUUAAGUUCUCCGCCUGGGAAGUACGGUCGCAAGACUA
This 371-nucleotide ribosomal RNA is filed under the name uncultured bacterium. RNAcentral describes it as "bacterial SSU rRNA". It matches the Rfam family "Bacterial small subunit ribosomal RNA", at positions 527 to 896 of the family's 1533-position model. The record is from RNAcentral.